Molecule: ribosomal RNA, 253 nt
Filed under: uncultured bacterium
Lineage: Bacteria
Description: partial 16S ribosomal RNA
Rfam family: Bacterial small subunit ribosomal RNA
Source: RNAcentral
GACAGAGGUGCCGAGCGUUAGGCGGAAUCACUGGGCUUAAAGCGUGUGUAGGCGGAUCUGUAAGUACCUUGUGAAAUCCCACGGCUCAACCGUGGAACUGCUUGGUAUACUGCGGGUCUUGAGCCACCUAGGGGCAAGUGGAACAAGCGGUGGAGCGGUGAAAUGCGUAGAUAUCGUCUGGAACGCCGAAGGUGAAAACAGCUCGCUGGGGCCGCGCUGACGCUGAGACACGAAAGCCAGGGGAGCGAACGGG